GAUAAACGCUAGCGGCAGGCCUAAUACAUGCAAGUCGAACGGGUUUUUGGAUUUAUUCAAGACUAGUGGCGCACGGGUGAGUAACACGUACACAACAUACCCAUGAUCGGGGGAUAGCCUUGGGAAACUGAGAGUAAUACCCUAUAGUAUUGACUGGAGGCAUCUUUGGUUGAUUAAAGCUGAGGCGAUGAUGGAUUGGUGUGCGUCUGAUUAGGUAGUUGGUGGGGUAACGGCCUACCAAGCCGACGAUCAGUAGGGGGCGUGAGAGCGUGAUCCCCCACACGGGUACUGAGAUACGGACCCGACUCCUACGGGAGGCAGCAGUAAAGGAAUAUUGGUCAAUGCCCGAAGGGUGAACCAGCCAUGCCGCGUGCAGGAUGACGGCCCUA
This 389-nucleotide ribosomal RNA is filed under the name uncultured bacterium. RNAcentral describes it as "bacterial SSU rRNA". It matches the Rfam family "Bacterial small subunit ribosomal RNA", at positions 28 to 419 of the family's 1533-position model. The record is from RNAcentral.